GGCGCCUUGGUAACACUUGAUAGAGACAUAUAACAAGGAUUCGUUUAUUUCAACAAACCAUUCACUUUCGUUAUUUCGUCGUGAGCAAAAUGUGCAGAAUAUAUUGUUGAAACGUGUAGGAGAUAUUGGGAUAAAAACAAAAGAACAUAAACCUAUCGAGUGUAUCUAAUACUAUCUUCUAGUUACUAUUUAUUGUAACUAGCGCAUCUGCGUGUGGUUGGCGAGCACGAACUCACGUUGUCAUUUUCAACAUUUCUUAAGAAGUUGAAGCGCUCCGGUCGCCAAUGACCAACGUGGCAAUCAAAGUGUUAAAGGCUUCGGUUCGAUUGACGAACAACGCUCCAGAGGCCCAGAGCCAGCUGACAAUUCGGCACAAACGCGAGAACAGUUCGAGGAGCAGCCCGGGCUAACGCAAGAAACCGUUUCAAAUCAUCUGCAUGAAACGAGAAAGAUGCAAAAAGGAGGAAAUGUGGCGUGAAAUUGCUUCUCAUACUAAUCAGAUGUCAUAACGAGUCUUAGAUACGCAGUAUCACCCGGUGUAUCCAUUUCAUGGUGCUUCCUCAGCUGGACAACUUUAUCGAGUAAAAAGAUCAUGGCAUUCUUUCGAAGUGAAAUUCAUCAGCAAUCUGAAUGAUGACUUAACUGUUUGAGUCGCAGGGAUCAUUGAAAAAACAGGAAAAUUAUUAUUAUUAUUAUUAUUAUUAUUAUUAUUAUAAAAUAUUAUUAUAUAUGCGUACUAUUAGUUUAUAAAUAUUUCAAGUUUUGUUCAAUAAAAAUUGAGAACAUAACAAUGAAAUACGAAAUACCGUCAGUUGUCCAUAGCGUUCAAAUGUACUGGCACUUGUCGACACAAAAUCUGAAGAGAUUUUUAAACAAGGGCGGUUAUUUUGAAUAAAAGUAUCAUGGAUGAGGAACCUGGGGAGUGCUGUGCAGAUUAUAAACAAGCGGUUGCUGAGCAUGUACAUAGUGAGGCUAAGACAAAAGACAAACCUAGGGUUUA
Molecule: long non-coding RNA, 1000 nt
Organism: Bombus pyrosoma
Lineage: Eukaryota; Metazoa; Arthropoda; Insecta; Hymenoptera; Apidae
Exons: 4
Source: RefSeq, a predicted model, not a curated record